GAUGAACGCUGGCGGCGUGCCUAAUACAUGCAAGUCGAGCGAACGGACGAGAAGCUUGCUUCUCUGAUGUUAGCGGCGGACGGGUGAGUAACACGUGGAUAACCUACCUAUAAGACUGGGAUAACUUCGGGAAACCGGAGCUAAUACCGGAUGAUAUUUUGAACCGCAUGGUUCAAAAGUGAAAGACGGUCUUGCUGUCACUUAUAGAUGGAUCCGCGCUGCAUUAGCUAGUUGGUAAGGUAACGGCUUACCAAGGCAACGAUGCAUAGCCGACCUGAGAGGGUGAUCGGCCACCCUGGAACUGAGACACGGUCCAGAGUCCUACGGGAGGCAGCAGUAGGGAAUCUUCCGCAAUGGGCGAAAGCCUGACGGAGCAACGCCGCGUGAGUGAUGAAGGUCUUCGGAUCGUAAAACUCUGUUAUUAGGGAAGAACAUAUGUGUAAGUAACUGUGCACAUCUUGACGGUACCUAAUCAGAAAGCCACGGCUAACUACGUG
RNAcentral lists this ribosomal RNA (497 nucleotides) under uncultured bacterium. RNAcentral describes it as "partial 16S ribosomal RNA". It matches the Rfam family "Bacterial small subunit ribosomal RNA", at positions 28 to 507 of the family's 1533-position model. The record is from RNAcentral.